RNAcentral lists this transfer RNA (75 nucleotides) under Deltaproteobacteria bacterium CG11_big_fil_rev_8_21_14_0_20_45_16. RNAcentral describes it as "tRNA-Gly". It matches the Rfam family "tRNA". Rfam says of the family: Transfer RNA (tRNA) molecules are approximately 80 nucleotides in length. Their secondary structure includes four short double-helical elements and three loops (D, anti-codon, and T loops). Further hydrogen bonds mediate the characteristic L-shaped molecular structure. tRNAs have two regions of fundamental functional importance: the anti-codon, which is responsible for specific mRNA codon recognition, and the 3' end, to which the tRNAs corresponding amino acid is attached (by aminoacyl-tRNA synthetases). tRNAs cope with the degeneracy of the genetic code in two manners: having more than one tRNA (with a specific anti-codon) for a particular amino acid; and 'wobble' base-pairing, i.e. permitting non-standard base-pairing at the 3rd anti-codon position. Lineage: Bacteria; Deltaproteobacteria. The record is from RNAcentral.
GCGGGUGUAGCUCAGUGGUAGAGCAUCUGCCUUCCAAGCAGAGGGUCGAGGGUUCGAAUCCCUUCGCCCGCUCCA